RNAcentral lists this ribosomal RNA (215 nucleotides) under uncultured bacterium. RNAcentral describes it as "partial 16S ribosomal RNA". It matches the Rfam family "Bacterial small subunit ribosomal RNA", at positions 118 to 334 of the family's 1533-position model. The record is from RNAcentral.
UAGGAACGUGCCUACAAUAGGGGGAUAACUGCGGGAAACUGCAGCUAAUACCGCAUAAUCACGAGAGUGAAAAGAUGGCCUCUAUUUAUAAGCUAUCGAUUGUAGAUCGGCCUAUGUCCCAUUAGCUAGUUGGUAGGGUAAAAGCCUACCAAGGCGACGAUGGGUAGCUGGUCUGAGAGGAUGAUCAGCCACACUGGAACUGAGACACGGUCCAG